Molecule: long non-coding RNA, 4846 nt
Filed under: Sus scrofa (pig)
Lineage: Eukaryota; Metazoa; Chordata; Mammalia; Artiodactyla; Suidae
Description: lncRNA (ENSSSCG00000061611.1)
Source: RNAcentral
CCUUAACCCACUGAGCAAGGCCAGGGAUCGAACCCACAACCUCAUGGUUCCUAGUCGGAUUCGUUAACCACUGCACCAUGACGGGAACUCCAAAGACCUUAAUUUCUGACAGAAUAUCCUUUGAAGCAUUUCUUGCCACAGUUCAAUAAAAGGAAUUGUUGGCUAAAACCAGAAAAGACUAAAUUAAUGGGAGGCUAUUCUUUUGGACACAUAAGUGAUGUCCUUAUGCAUGCUUUUCAGAUGAGAGUCAUUCUAGGGAAUAUCCAAAACUAUAGGCUUAAAUGUCUUCGUGGAAGUAAAAUUUGCUUGAAAUUUUUGGAGAAAACUUUUUUCAGUUUGGGCAAAUUCUGCCACAAAGGUGCUUACAAAAAAUCUGCAGAAUUUCGUAUUUCUAAGGUUGCUAAAUAUGAGUUAAUGAUUCUCUAAGUGUUGUACUUUUAUUCAAGAGGCAUAUAGUGAUGUUAGCACUGUGAUCUAGGAGAGAAAGCCUCAAAGGCUUGUGCCAAUUUCCCUGCUCUCAGGGUUGCUACUUGUGCAUUAGAACUGAAAAUGGGGAUUUAAAAGUGACUCUUAGUAACAACACAGCUGGUUUUUUAACAAAUUGAAUUUGUUACCCAGAGGAUCAGUAGUUUCAGUUUGUUUUAAAAAUCUGAUUACCUAAAGCCAUUAGUUCUUGCAAAUUAGUUCAGCUUCCUAUUCAAGUUGCUUUUAAUCAAGUUCUGCAUACAAGCUCACACACAUCCCUGACUUUACCUCUCAAAAGAAUGAGGUACUGGAAAACACAACAGUACUGGGAAUUCUUAUUUUGUUUUGUGGUUUUAGCCACUUUAAAAUUAUAAAAAUUACAAAGUUAAUGAGAAAACCUGAAAAAUCCCAAACUCUUUAAGGAGUGUGUCUACUCUGGCCUUGUGUCUGAAGAAUUUCUCCCAAGGAUGGUUCAGCCAACUAAUGCUUGUGUACCCAAAUCACAGGUAGGCAGUACCAGCACCAGUAACCUAAAAAACAUGGACUGCAUUUUAGUGCUGUUUGCAAUAUGGGUUUUAUUAUGUUGGCAACACACACACACACACACACACACACACACACACACACACACACAAAUGGAAUAUUACUCAGUCAUAAAAAGAACAAAAUAAUGCCAUAUGCAGCAACAUGGAAGGACCUAAAGAUUAUCAUGCUAAGUAAAGUAAGUCAGACACAGAAAGAGAAAUACUGUAUGAGAUCACUUCUGUGUGGAAUCUAAUUAAAAAAAUGAUACAAAAGAACUUAUUUAUAAAUGAGAAACAAAUCCACAGAUUUCAAAAUCAAACUUAUGGUUACCAAAGGGGAAACUGCCAGGGGUGGGGGGAGAGGUGAUAAAUUAGAAGUUGGGAUUAAGGUAUACAUAUUUUGUCUUUUUGUAUUUUCUUGGGCCACACCCAUGGCAUGUGGAGGUUCCCAGGCUGGGGGUCUCAUCAGAGCUACAGCCACAGCAAUGCCAGAUCCAAGCCGAGUCUGCGACCUACACCACUACUCACGGCGACACUGGAUCCUUAACCCACUGAGCGAGGCCUGGGUAUGAGUGCAUCCUCAUGGAUAGCAGUCAGGUUUGUUACCACUGAGCCACAAUGGGAACUCCUGUCCCAAGUAUUCUAAUUGGUCUAUUUUCAUUUAUUUUUCUGGAUGCAGAGUGGUCUUCUUGAUCUAGAAAUUUCAGUUAUUUUUUUUCAGUCAUUGGAAAAUUUUUUUUUUUUUUGUCUUUUUGCUAUUUCUUUGGGCUGCUCCCACGGCAUAUGGAGGUUCCCAGGCUAAGGGUCCAAUCGGAGCUGUAGCCACUGGCCUACGCCAGAGCCACAGCAACGUGGGAUCCAAGCCGCGUCUGCGACCUACACCACAGCUCACGGCAACGCCGGAUCGUUAACCCACUGAGCAAGGGCAGGGACCGAACCCGCAACCUCAUGGUUCCUAGUCGGAUUGUUAACCACUGCGCCACGACGGGAACUCCUGGAAAAUUUUUUGAAUUAUCUUUGAUAACUUUCUGACUUUGCUCGUCAUUAAAUUCCUAUUUUCAAAUGUUGGCCCUUCUGGAGCAAUCCUCUGAUUUUCUUACCUUUUCUCUUCUAUUUUCUAGGUCUUUGUCUUAUUAUUCUGUUUUCUGGUGAAUUUCCUCAGCUCUGCCUUUAACCAUUUUACUGAAUUAAAAAAUAAUUUUCAGGAGUUUCUGUCAUGGCGCAGUGGUUAACGAACCCUACUAGGAAUCAUAAGGUUGCAGGUUUGAUCCCUGGCCUCACUCAGCGGGUUAAGGAUCCGGCAUUGCCGUGAGCUGUGGUGUAGGUCGCAGAUGUGGCUCAGAUCCCUCAUUGCUGUGGCUGUGGUGUAGACCGGUGGCUACUGCUCUGAUUAGACCCGCCUGGGAACCUCCAUAUGCCACAGGUGUGGCCCUAGAAAAGGCAAAAGGACAAAAAACAAAACAAAACGAAACAAAAAAUUCAAAUGGAUAGUAUGUGUUUUGAGUUUUAAAGAUGCAAAAGGACAAAAUGCAAAGCCUCCCAAUUCCUGCUGCUGGCCACAUACACCUUCUUCAGAGGCAAUCGCUGUUUUUCCUUCCAGAGAUAAUUUGUUCAUAUAUAAAAAAGUGAAUGUGUGUGUAUUUUCACAUCCUCCCCCUUUUAAAAUCACAAAUAGCAUACUUUACAUAUUGUUAUGUACCGUGCUUUAUUCUUAUAAACAUGUCUCAAGAGUCCUCCAUGUAGGUACAGUUUCUCCUAAAUUUUUAUACUUUUCAGGUCAACAUAGUAUUUCUUUUUACAGAUACUCCAUAUUUGGUUGAAUCUCUUUCCUAUUGAUUUUGCUAUUUGCAACAAUUUUCAGGGGAUAACUUCGUACAUACAUUAUUUUGCUCACAUGUGAUAAAGUUCUAAAUAUGGAAUUACCAAUUGAAAGGUAAUGUACACAUUUGUACCUGUAAUAGAUAUUGCCCGAAAUGUCUCCCAUAGAAGCUGUGCUAAAACAUAAACUGUCACCAGCAAGGUAUGAAAGUACAUUUUCUACAUCCUUGCAACACAGUAUAUUAUGAAACUUCUUAGUCUUUGCCAAUCUGAUAAGUGAAAAAUGGUAUCUCAUGUGGUUUUAAUUUACAUGUAUCUUAGGAGGUCGAGCAUCUUUUCAUGAGUCUCUAAAAGUCAUUUGUAUUUACCUUCCUGUGAAUUGCCGUAUUCUUUGCUAUUGGGCUGUUUUCAAAGUUGUGUCACUUUAUACAUAAGGGAAAUAAGGCCCUUAUCUGUGGUAAGAAUUGGAGUUGUUCCCAGUUUAUUAUUCAUCUUUUGACUUGGAUUAUGUUGCAUUUCUCAGUGUAUGUGAAUUUACCAACUGCUUCUUUUAAGGCCUUUGAAUUGAAUGUCAUAAAGAGAAAAGGGUUUUCUUCCCUCUAAAAAUUUUUUUUAAUUAACCAGGGUUGUGUCUGAUAAUUUUGUGCUUUUCCACUUUUCUAUUUAAAUUACUAAUCUGUCAUAAAUUUAUUUUAGGAAGUGGGGAUCUCAAUUUACCUUUUUUCAGAUGGCUGCAUAUUAUUAUUAAUAAUCCAUUUUUAUUUUUGAUUGAAAAAUACCACCUUAACAUAUACUAAUUUCUUUAUGUUUUUGUGUCUAUUUUUGUUCUAUUGAUCUGCUGAACUAUGCAUGUUUUAAUUGUAACACUAUUAAAAGUUUUCCAACGUAUUUUUGUAUUAGGGAAAACUAGGUUUUUAAUUUAUGUUGUUGAUGUUAAUCAUCAAUUUUGCAGUGACAUUUAAAAAAUAAAUUAUGCAGAAUUUAAAAGAAACCAAUCAUGUUAUGCAAAGGAAGUAUACCAUCCUAGGUAAGGCUCAGAGUUUUCUAACUCAAGGUUUGCUUUUUAAUUUUUUUUUCCAGUGAUGGGGAAACAAGACACCAAAACAAGGGUAAGCAGUACUUAACACUCACCUUUGCAAUCAAGAUUGGCUUACACAUCAGAGCAUUUAGCCUUGAGGGAGGGGAAAAAAAAUGAUAGGUCAACCAUUGCACAGCAAAACUCUGAAGUUUGAGAGUUGGAUGAAAAGACUUGAUUAUGGGAACUCUGAGUCAUUUGAGAUGAACUUUUAGUUCAUUCUCAGGUGAUGAAAAUACAGCAUCAGUAGUCAACUGGAAUGCAAGCAGCAUGGUGAUUUUCCUUCAGUGAAAAGCCUUUAUUUGUUUGAGAUGAAAAGAAGAGACUCAGUGAACCAGAGACCAUUUUAUUCUAAAUCAUGACAGCCUUUUGGCAUCUCUUCUCAGCGUUACUUCCAAGUAGCCCAUAGAGUAGAAAAAACAGUUGCCACUUCUACAUGUGUCUGUGUGAGCCAGACUAUUGCCAUAUUAAUAUUGUAAUGGCAAGAGAGAGGAGAACUGGUCUAGGUGGUGGCCCAAAGCCACGCUCAUGAGUGAGGCAUUUUAAAAACUGUUUUAAUGAGUUUAAAAUAGGAGUUCCUGGAGUUCCUAUUGUGGUUCAGAGGUAAGGAACCCAACUAGUAUCCAUGAGAUAUGGGUUCAAUCCCUGGCCUCACUCAGUGGGUAAGGGUCCAGCAUUGCCAUGAGCUGCAGUGUAGGAUGUAGACACAGCUCAGAUCCCACGUUGAUAUGGCUGUGAUGUUGGCCAGCAAUUGCAGUUCUGAUUUGACCCCUGGCCUGGGAACUUCCAUAUGCUGCAGGUGCAGCCCUAAAAGGACAAAAUAAAAAAAAAAAAAAAGGAGUUCUGUUGUGGCUCAGCAGGUUAAGGAUCCAGCAUUGUCACUGCAUUGGCUCAGGGUUGCUGCUGGAGUAUGGUUCAAUCCCUAGCCCAGGUACUUCUGCAUGCCAUGGAUGUAACCUUCCCC